This 73-nucleotide transfer RNA is filed under the name Camelus bactrianus (Bactrian camel). It matches the Rfam family "tRNA". From Rfam's summary of the family: Transfer RNA (tRNA) molecules are approximately 80 nucleotides in length. RNAcentral also lists the same sequence under 2 other names. The record is from Rfam by way of RNAcentral. Lineage: Eukaryota; Metazoa; Chordata; Mammalia; Artiodactyla; Camelidae.
UAGGGUAUAGCUUAGUCUGUAGAGUGCUUGUUUCAUGUGCAUGAGGUCCUGGGUUCAAUCCCCAGUACCCCCA